This 58-nucleotide small RNA is filed under the name Sinorhizobium meliloti 2011. RNAcentral's name for it is "putative ncRNA". Lineage: Bacteria; Pseudomonadati; Pseudomonadota; Alphaproteobacteria; Hyphomicrobiales; Rhizobiaceae. The record is from RNAcentral.
AUAUCGUCGUCGGCCGACCUGCUAUGUAUGACGAGCGGCAGUCCGGUUGUUCGCGCUG